This 5703-nucleotide long non-coding RNA is filed under the name Sus scrofa (pig). RNAcentral's name for it is "lncRNA (ENSSSCG00000048083.1)". Lineage: Eukaryota; Metazoa; Chordata; Mammalia; Artiodactyla; Suidae. The record is from RNAcentral.
UGCAUAUGGAAGUUCCCAGGCUAAGGGUCUAAUCAGAGUUGUAGCUGCCGCCCUACCCCAGAGCCACAGCAAUGCCAGAUCCAAGCACAUCUGUGACCCACAGCUCAUGGCAAGGCCAGAUCCUUAACCCACUGAGCAAGACCAGGGAUUGGACCCGCGACCUCAUGGUUCCUAGUCAGACUCGUUUCCACUGCGCCACGAUGGGAACUCCUAUGUAACAUCUUCUUAAUCCAUUCAUCUGUCUAAGGACAUUCAGGUUAUUUCCAUGUCUUGGCUGCUGUGACUAGUGCUGCAAUGAACAUAGCAGGCCAUCUGUCUUUUUCAAGGAAAGUUUUGUCUGGAUAUAUGCCAAGGGCGGGAUGGCUGGGUCAAAAGAUCAUUCUACAUUUAGUUUUGUUGGGGUACCUCCAUACUGUCCUCCACAGUGGCUGCACCAGCCUACAUUCCCACCAGCAGUGCAGGAGGGAUCCCUUUCCUCCACACCCCCCCGCAUCUGUCAUUUGUGGACUCAUUAAUGAUGGCCAUUCUGACUGGUGCGAGGGGUAGUUUUGAGUUGCAUUUCUCUCGUGAUCAGUGGUGCUGAGCAUUUUUUCAUGUGUCUGUUGGCCAUCUGUGUAUCUUCUCUGGAGAAAUGUCUAGUCAGGUCUUUUGGCCAUUUUUCGAUUGUGUUGUUGGCUUUUUUGCUGUGGAGCUGUACAAGUUGUUUGUAUAUUCUAGAGAUUAAGCCCUUGUCAGUUACAUCGUUUGAAACUAUUUUCUCCCAUUCUGUAAGUUAUCUUUUCAUUUUUUUUUAAUGGUUUCCUUUGCUGUGCAAAAGCUUGUCAGUUUGAUUAUGUCCCAUUGGUUUAUUUUUGCUUUUAUUUCUGUUGCCUUGGGAGACUGACGUGAGAAAACAUUUGUAAGGUUGAUGUCAGAGAAUGUUUUGCCCGUGUUCUCUUCCAGGAGUUUGAUGGUGUCUUGCCUUAUGUUGAAGUCUUUAAGUCAUUUUGAGUUUACUUUUGUGCAUGGUGUGAGGGUGCAUUCCGGUUUCAUUGAUUUGCAGGCAGCUGUUUAGUUUUCCCAGCACCACUUGCUGAAAAGACUGUCUUUUUACCAUUUUAUAUUCUUGCCUCAUUUGGCCUGGCUUCUCGACCCUGAGUCUGGAUCCUGCAUGGCGGGGUCUUCGCAGCUCAGGACCCUGCUCCUGGUACUUCCUGAAGAGGAGUUUUCAGCAACACGAACUUUGAUGGGUUAGGUCAGACUCCAGGCUGGGCAGUCACAGGGGCGAGAGCUGGGGGUGGUCCUGGCCUUCACUUGGGCUUCGGAGACCACCUUAGCAAGGGCACUGAGUGUCCACCCAGCCCCUCUGCACCCCUUCUUCCCUGUUACCACUUUAUCCAUGGCUUCUAGACUGUGGAAUCCUUGACUGCCUGUGCCAGGCUGACCACUCACUGUGUGAGGGCUUACCUGAGAAGCUCAGGGACAGCUUGGUGGCUGCCCAAAGUCCUUAAAGGUUCGGAAGCUUCACCAUGUAGAUCUACGAAGCACCGGCUAUUUCUGUGCCAAAUUGCUAAUUCACCGAAGGAAGCAAAUUCAGGACCUGGAGGGGGCUCUCCCCAAAGGCUGCCCCCAUGGGACGGACAUCUGCAUGGCUGGCCACCACCCCCUCGUCCUGCGGGCUCACAGUGCAGAGGUUCAUGGAACAGCCUGGCUCUGAGAAGGAAGAGCCCGCCUUGAGCUCUGCGCUGAGCAUUUGACAGCCCUGGACAUCUUGUCUGAUCCUCCGAUUGUGCCCAUUUUUCAGAUGAACGGGCACAGAGAGGUUAGAGAACUUACCUGAUGUCACACAGCAGCGAAUGAGAUGGCACAGAAGCCAUCAGAACAGGACAGGUGCAGCCAGGGUACCUGGCCAGGGGCAAUGAGAUAGCAAGAGGGCAGCCCCGCUUACCCGCAGUGGCCAAGAGCAUCGCAUGCGUGCUGCAGGUGGGCUAGGCUGAAGUGACAUGGACAAGACCCUGCUUGUGACCCCUCCCCUACUCUACUGCCCCCUCCCCAACUCGUGCCUCCAGAAGCUGGCUGCACCUCCACUGCCCAGCCAGUUUUCCUGCUGGAGGAGACCCUCUCCUGGCAGCCUGGGCAGAGCACCUCUGGGGCCCCAUCGCUGGCAUGUGGCAGCUGUCCUCUUUCUGACCCCACGGCCAUGUAACCUGACCCUGUGCCGUCCCCCAGCCACACUCACCCCUUCCUCCCCUUCUGUCUGGUGCCGAGCCUGCAGAGGUGCCCCCAGGCACCCAGGUUCCUGUCUGGAGGGGCCACAGCCCUCAAAGCCACAUUCCACAAGCCGAGGAGGCGCCCCUGCUGGGCCAGCAGGUGAGCACCCCUCGGGCUCCCCCUCCAGCCACGCCAUCAUUCAGAGCUCUCGUUCUCCCUCUAAUUAGAGCUGGAUUAGGGUUGGUGCAAGGGAACUCUGCUCACCAACAAAGAGGGCUUAGACUCAGGGUAGUGGUGGGCAGGUUGCAGCAGGGCGGCCGGCCCCUUCCUGGGGCAGCCCCUCAGCCAUUGCCCUUCCCCGCCUCUCAGCCUCAUGGACCCAGCACAGCCCCAAGGAUCAGGGCACCGAUCCUGGCCUCCUCUGUAGGGCCCUCGAUGCCUCCUGGGCUGAGGCCCAUCAGACAUCCCAGGGGACCCCUGAGGCUGGACAGCUCAGGGUGGCGGUGCCUGCUGCUUCUGGAGCAGGUGGCUGGACGCUCUGGAGGUGGGGUCUGCAGAGCACCCUGUGCAGCUGGUUCCAGGCUUUCAGCCAGAAUGCAGCCUGCUCCUGUGGACCAAGCCACUGAACAGAACACAGAGGGUUCCAGCACCCCCACCCAUCCUUCUGUGGGAGAGGCAGCCAUCACCCCUGACUUGGGGUUCCUGCUGGCCUCGUCCCUCUGGGCUCCCCUGAGCAGGUGUGGGCUGCAUCUGCGGGAGGCCUUCCCAAGGGUCAGCUGGGGCCACCAGGGUCACAGGAGGCUUCCUAGGUCCCAGAGUGGGCCUCUCCUGUUUGUGCAGGGGAAGGCGUGGCCUCUGGGACCCGACUCCCCUUCCUGCUGUCUCUGGAGAGUCUGCCAGUGCCACCUGGUUGGGGCUCACCCAAGCUGGGCUAGAACACAGGAUAUGCAGCCAGAGCUGUUGGGAAGCACCCCCGGCGGGUGCGGGUGGGGUCUGGAUGGGAUGGGCAGACCCUACCCCCACUCACUUGCCUUCAGGCUCUCUGACCCUCUCCUCGGGUGAUCAGAACAGGCAGGUUCGGGCUCAGCCCUAUCCUGAGAGCAGGGCAAGUCCAAGCUCUGGGAAGGGGGCCCUGAAGCUGGGGCCCUGCUCGCUGUCCUCCGGGCACAUUCAGGGCAGUCUCAGGUGCCCUUCCAGAGUUUCUGGGGCCUCUCUCUUAGCAGGGCCUACCCAGAACUUCUCUUUCAUGUUGCAUAUUUUAAAAUGUCUCCAUUACGGGCUGACCACAGGCUGAGACGCAGCACUCCUGCCCCCACAUGGGUUUGUAGGGUCCCCAUUGUGCAUUAGGGUGUCAGAAUCCCAGAAGAGGUGGCAGCCUGCCAGCCCCGAGACUUCCCCGUCCCGGAGUGCUUGAUGGCUAUCACUUCUCCAGCUAUGCAGCCCGAGUUGGCUGUGCCGGCGCCCAGCCUGUCCGUCACCUCCUGGGGGCAGGGGUGAAGUGUCCCCAGGAGGCCAGCUGCGGGGGUGGGCAGAACCAUGUGCUGGGCGUGCAGCGCGGGCAGAGGCGCGACGUGGCUGGCCUCUGAGGGCUGUGGUGGGUGGGGUGCAGCCCGAGCCUUCUCGAGCUGAGUCACGAUCCGGCUGCAGGAAGCCUGGCCACAUGACCUCCAAACUGAGGCAACUCUGGCUUUUUGCUGUGUGCAAGCAUAGUUGCUGCUGCUCCUGGAAGCAAAGGGAGUGGAGUUUCACUGAGCCUCCCCUUCCGAGAACAGACGUCAUCUCUGGGGCACUUCAGGGUCACAUGAAGGGCAGGAACGUGGCCACCUGCAGGCACUGGCGCACCCCUGAGCAGGGGACAAGGCUCGGACCUGUCUGAGCAUCUUAGGCUGAGGAAGAGAUGAAGCUUACAGGUUCGGGAAGGUCCAGGAGCUGCUCACAUACCCAGACACACACACCUGGUACACACACGGCUGGAUGCACCCGACACACUCACCACACUUGUACUCACCCACAGAGAGCACACCCCUGCACACUCACAGACACCCACGCCAGCACUGCACAUGCCCGCAGCACGGGGCCACCGGCUGAAGACUGAGGGCCCCAGAUGGACCUGGACCCCACGACCUGGUCAAGAGGUGGCAGGAACAUGCCCAAUACAAGGUCCGGCCGGCUCGGCAGUGCAGGGCCGCGAGGUGUGUCCAGACCUGAGCCUCGACCUUUCAUCCGGGAAACUGGCACCCGGGCCCACCAGGUUGUCUAAGGGGAUCUGCCCCCCCAAGCGUCAGCACGGGGUGUGCGUGGAAGGAUUGCCAGGGCACCGGCCUCUGCGUGGGACGCCCUCCCGCGCUGCAGCCUGAGCCCUCGCUCUGAGCCCACACUCCCCAGCCAGCGCGGAGCCCCGGAGCCCUUGGCAACCCCCACUGAGGAAGCCCAGCCCGCCGGUCCCCUGCAGCGCCACCUACCGGCCGCAGGGAGACUCCGCCGGCCACCAGACUCGGGAGCCCCGAGCUGCAGGACAGGCUCAACCAGGGGGUGGGGCACAGGCUGGGAGAGCCAGGGAACUGGCCCCCGAUUUCUAGAGGGUCAGAAAGGGCAGAGGCAAAGCUUUGGUGCCAGGAGCCAGGCUCUCUUCCCAGAGUUACUCUUGGAAGUGGGUGAGUUCAGGAGGGCUGGAUUUUGAGCCUUCCAACCCUGCCCCCGCCCCAGCUGCUCCCUCUGCAGGCCCCAGAAUUGAGGCUUCACCUUGAUAAAGCAGGGUCCCAUGGGAUGGGACAGAAGAUCCUAUGGGCACGCCAGGAGCUCUGGUCCACAAGUUGACCCCUGGCAGGACACCCUAAGACAGUGAACAGGCUACAGAGGGCAGAAAAGAAUAUUUGGGGGAAACUGCCGUGAGUUGCGUGUGGCCUACACGUGUGUACCUCGAAUUCCACUGGAGACAGUGCAUUACUCUUGCACCGAGCUGAACCACCUCUCUGGCUCUGGGCUUUUGUGUUCCCACUGCCUGAACCCCCACAGCCACCUGAUCAGCCUCAGGAGCCCCUACAGACCCAGGUGACACCCCCCUCCUCCACCUCCCCGUCCCGGCCUUGCCCCUUGGUCACUCAGGAAAACAGUGUCAUUCUCUCCAAAAUCCGACUCUCCCUGAAGUCCGCAGGGUGCAGGUGUGACAGCUCACCUAAGACAUAGAUUCCACUCCGCGGCCGGUCUCCAGUCUCCAGGACGCCUGCUACUGCUUGGCACUUGGUCAAGUCCAUCUCAACUCAUUAUUCACACAAGUAGUUUCUCAACCCAGCCCCAGAGAGGGGGUUUUUCCCUCCUCUGGGGUGCCCCUUGGGGCCGAAAAUCCCAGAUCUUCCCCUGGUGCUGCCGUUUGCUUCUCUGACGGUUUCCCUGCUCUUUGGUUCUAAUCAAGACUUGCUUGCCACUCAGGUUACUGGUUGGUGUUUCCCCCUCUCCUGCCAGCUAGUCCCCCAGAGAGAACCAUCUCACCUCGCUGAAGGCUGGGACGCACUU